AUCAAGGAAUCAUAUAGAGAAAACAAAGUUGAAAGUAAUGUAAGGUGGGACCAUACAGCUUUCGUAAGAUUGAUUCUUUAUUUGAUUCACUAUUUUUGAAAUAAGUUCAAUUCUUUAUCCAACUCUUUGUCGCAUAUUACUUUAUCAUUUUUUUGCUUUCAUCCUAGAUUAGUUUAAGAGUUUAAAUAUAUUUUUAAGAGUAAUUAAUUCAUAAUCAGUGCCAUAAUUUAGAUUUUGACUUUCUUUGUAUGACAUUUGUACAACUACACCUUUUUGUGUAUAUCAUAAAAGUGUCAAGUAUAUCAUAAGUGUCAAUUGAAUCGGAUGAAGUAGGAUAAUUACGGAAUGAUGAAUGUUGAUCAAGUCCUCGUACAUGUCUAAAAGAAAAUUUGUCUUCUUAGAUACGAAAUAAGUAAUGUCAUUUUACUGUGAAGUGAUGCAUUCAGUGCCCAAGAAUCAAUCAGGUCUUGACUUUCUUUCUGUGAAAUUUGUAAAACAAUGAAGGCACCUAAAAAAAACUAUUUUUGUCGGUUCCAUCAAGUAACGAAGCAUUUUGACAAUCAUUGGUUCUAAAUUUCUAAUAUAAAAAAAUUGGUAGCAACAAAUUAAUAGUCCCUUUAUCCCACAUUGAUAACAAAGUUAACUAAUUUUUCUUAAACUCUUGGCUUGCAAUCACUUGUUUAUGUCAAGUUUCAAAUAAUUAUAUAUAAAUGAAAGAUAAAUUGGUUAAAAGAAGAAAUAGAUAACAAAUGCACGGCUUUGUUUUGUAAUAAUUUCAUUCCGUCUAGGCAUAUUAAUUAAAAUAAAAAAUUAUAUUUUGUAUUUGUUUGUCUUUUGUUGAUACAUAUUUUUUCUUCAUUUUAAAAAAAGGAUAGAUUAGGUAGACUUUGAUUUAUAUCAUGUGCUAUUGUAUCUAUUAAUUUUUUUUCUUUUCUUGUGUGUAUUAAUGAAUUAUAAUAUUGUAUAUGUCUUUUCAUUGUAUAUUAAUACGUUUUAAAUAUCACUGAUUAUAACUAUCAAGUGGUUAUUGUUCCUUUUUUGGCCAUUUGUAAAGAAUUUAAAUUAUAAACACUUAGUUAUGAAUUAAAGGCUUUUAAAACUCAAGAUAUAAACAAUUGGUUUGUAAUACAAGAGCUUUGUCAUUGACAGUUUUUUUCCUACCAUUUGUAUACAAUCAAAUUUGUUUUUGUUUACCUCAAAUUGGAAUUUUGUGUUUCUUGUCUAAUAAUGAAAUUUUUUUCCAUUAUAUUGGUUAAAAUUAUUUAGAAAAAAUUGUGCCAUUUGUAUAGAAUCAAAACUCUUUUUGUUUUCAUGGAAUUGGAAUUUUGUCUUUACUAUCUGGUAAUAAAUUUAUUCUCUUUCAUUAUAUUAGUUUAAUUAUUUAGAAGAACCAUAAUAAAACUAAUGUUAAAUUGCCUAAAAAUGCCAAUACUUAGUUAAUAUAUAUUUUGUUUGAAAUUGAAGAGAGUUAUUAAGUAUACUAUAUUUUUUUGUCUUGACUGUUUUUUGUUAAUACACCUUAAUUUUAAAAAGAAUUGCUGUUAGUCAAAAAAAAGUUUUCAUUUUUAUUCAAGUACCAGUUUGUCGUUUAAUUAUUAGCUCUUAAUUCAUUCUUUGACGCGUAUCCCACUUGUAUGCUUUGGUCCACUCUCCAUGCAUAGUACUGAAACUGUACUAUCAAUAUAGACCUGGCUUCCACUUCAUUCUCAGCAGAGCCAGAAACAAAAAUCACAGCCAAUGGCCAAUGCUCCACUUUCACCAUGUUUUGUCUUGCAUGCAACAACCUCUACACAGAUUUAAUUAUCCUUUUUUCAUACUUCCACGUCAUUGUCCUAUAUAUGAGAUUACUUCAAGCUUUUUUGAAUAUAAAGCGCUUUGUUCUCAUCUACAACGGGUUAAUGCCUUUUUAAAGUUUUUCUCAGGUAUUGGUUCUCAUCUUCUUCUACUUGCAUUUUUUACAUUCAGAUUAUAGUUUUAGAUGGAAAAAAUAUAACUUUUGUAUUCUGCACGCCAUAUGUUUGAAUUGUUUCAAAAUAUGUAGUUGCAGAUGGGUCGUAUAUUGUUUUUUGGAGUUAUAAAGUGGAUGCAAUUUUCUUUUAGAGACAUUUUUGGUUGCUUCAAUCAUAUUUCUAUCUUAUUACUUGUGCACGAGGGCUACAUUGAUAUUGUGCUUGGCUGUUUAUCUGCAUCUGUUAAUUUCUUGGCUUUUUUUCAUAGGUUUGCGCUUUUCAUUCUCUUUUUUAGGAUUAUGUAUCAAUGACUUGUGUUCCAAUUGUUUUGACUAUAUUUCUUUUCUUCUUUUCUUUUCCUUGUUGUUUGGCUACUAUCUUCUUUUUGACAUGUUUUUCUAUUAUUUAAGUACUAAGUUUUGCUUUCUUAUGGUAGAUGUAGUUAUAUAAUCUGUUUUAUCCUCGGUUUAUGAGUUAUGGUUAUAUUUGUUGGUUGUCUUUUGUUGCGUUAUAAAUUUUUUCAGAUUUAAUAAGCUAUAUAUAUAUUUGUUAUGUUAUUUGCUUUUACACAUUAGAUAUGGAUUUAUCGGUCUAAACAAAUACUGUUGGUUUAAGUUAUACAGAUUUGCAAUUUUCUUGUACUGAAUUAAUCUAUGUGGUCUACCCAAUGGAUAAAAAUUUGACUUGAAGACAACAUCAUGCUGCAAUGCCUAAAAAAAAGAAGGAUGCAAUGAAUUGUAGUAGAAGAGAGGCAUAUAGUGCUGAAAAAAGGGGUUUAUCCUCUAUUGCUAACUCUGCUGCUCUAGGGAAUCCAGUUGAACAAUGUUCAGUUAAGAAUGUAGGCAGUGGCAAUGCUUCAAGUCAUAGUUAUGUACCAGAAAAUUCAUUUGGUUUGCUAUCUGCUUUGAACGUCUUCAGGAAACACAAUAGCACAGAUAACAACUCUUCAACCAAUGUGCUUGAUGUUGUUUCUGGUGCAUUUUCCUCUGCUCCUAAAAGGCAUAAACUUUCUCUUCAAGUGUAUUCUUCGACUUCUUUUUCUGUUGCUUCCCUUACCAGAGGUAUACUCUGUUUUAUAAAAAUAGGAAUGUUGCUUUCCAUUGUUCUUGCUUAGAACUUAAUCUAUGCGUUCCCUUGCAUAUCUACCCUGCUUCUUUGUUUUCUCAAUUAGUUUAUGCAUGGUUCUCUAGCAUUCCAUUUUUCUUUUCUUUUCUUUUUUAACUUUAGCUCCCUCUUUAAUUCUAUCAGCUUUAAAUGGAAGAUAUGUAGAGGAUGACUCCUUUUCUGUUAUUUUUGUUACAACUAAGUCAUUAAGUGUUCAAAAUGAUAUAUCUACUCCAAUAGAUACAGAUGCUCUAAAAAAGGUAGCUAAUGGAAUAUCAUUUAUCUUUUUUGGGAGGAAACUUGGAAUAGCAUACUUCAUUAACUUUCAUUAAUACGCAUUCCACAAUCAUUAUAGGUAGAAAAAAGAAAACCAAGGUAGGACUUUAUGCACGAUUAGAAUGUAUACCGAAAAUAUCUGUAGGCUUACCCAAUGCUUUGGAUUGUAAGCAUUGUGGUGCAAAGCGGUUUCACUUGGAGCCACCAAAUUUUUGUUGUGGCAGUGAUAUAGUUUCUAUUGUAAUUCCAGUGAUGCCCUAUAGUCUUGGUCGCUUAUUUUCGAGUAGAGAGCAAGAAUGCUUGGAAUUCAAAAAGUGUGCACGCACUUAUAAUAAUAGUCUACCUUUCAUCUCCUUUGAUGCAAAAUAUGACCAUGAUUCAACAAAGAACAGCAAAGGAGUUUAUACCUUCCUUGUACAAGGUCAAGUCUACCAUUUGCUUAGUAGCCUUGUUCUUUCUGCUGAGAAGCCUAUCGAUAUUCAGUUAUAUUUUUAUGAUGAUGAUGAGAAAUUGUCAAAUAGGUUUUACAAUUCCUCUAAUCUACAGGAAAGUACUCUUAAACUAUUGAUGCGGAUUUUUCAAAAUAACCCUUAUGCUAGAUUCUUUAAGAGCCUUCAGCAUGUUCCUCAUCUUGAUUGUUGUAAGAUUGUUCUUAACUGCAAUCCUGACUUGGAUUAGUGAGUAUAUAACCUGCCUACUUCAUCAUAACUUUUUGCAAUUUGGUCUGAAUCUGAUAAUGAUGAUGUUGAUAAGAAUACUCAUAUUCAAAUUUAUACACACUCAUAUACUUCACAUAGGAUCUUGCACUAUUUUGCAUGUUAUGAUUCAUUACAAUACCCUCUACUUUCCCCUAAUGGUGAAUCUGAGUGGCAUUACUGUAUCCGAAGAAACCUAGGAUCAGAAAGAAAAGGAAGACACCAGUUACGAUAAUUACUUUUUAGAUUUUGGUUCCAUAGAAACUCCUAGAGAACUAAUUAAUAGAGAAGAACAAGGCACGUUUAGUUAGUAUUUCUUUCCUUUAGUUGUAAGAUAUUUAAUGCAUACUUAAUUAUGUCUAAUAACAAAUUAGAACUGUUAGUAUUUUUUUGUCUAUAGUUGCUGAAGAGAGUAGAUAGCAACGAAAUAUGGUUUCAGCAAGAGAGUAGUAUAGUUUGUUUAGAUAGCAAAUUAUCCCAAAUAAUACAUCACUUGUAUUAUAAACAUAUUUUUCAACCAAUUUUUUUAUAUUCCUAUCUAUCUUUUUAUCUUACAUACAUCACAUCGCAAAAAGUGCUACCGUAAUUAUUCCAAAUAAUAUUUCAAAUAACAUUCUAUCCAAACAAACCCAUUGUUAUUUGCUCCAAAUGUGCGAAGGUACUAGAUCAAUGCUUUUACACACAGGCAAACUUCUUCAACAAUUUGUAGUUGAUAUAUAUGUUAACAUUGAAACCUAUAGACUGGACUUUCAUAGGAUAAAGCAGGCUAAUAUUAGAAUAGAAAUGCUACAAAGUGUAAUCGAUCGUAUAUCUGGUGGUAGUACAAAAGGAGGACAAGUUGGGCGUAAAAUUUAUCUUCCAACUUCUUUUAUUGGUCGACCUAGGGAUAUGCAGCGCCGAUAUGUCGAUGCAAUGGCUUUAGUGCAGAGGUAUGGCAAACCAGAUAUUUUUCUUACCAUGACUUGUAACACUACUUGACCAGAGAUUCAACAAAACCUAAAAUAUGGAGAGGAAGCUCAAGAUAGACUUGAUUUAGUGGCAAGAGUUUUUAGAGCCAAAUUUCACAUUUUUAAAUCAGAGAUUGUGAAGAAAAUUUUUUCUUGGUGAAGUAUCAACUCUUGUUUAUGUCAUUGAAUUUCAAAAGAGGGGUCUUCGUCAUACACAUAUUUUGGUUAUACUAAAGCCACAAUUUAAGCCAUUAAAUGCUGAGUCCUAUAAUAGAAUAGUUUCAACUGAAAUUCCAGAUCCACAUACUCAGCGACAUUUGUAUAAUCUUGCUAUUAAACACAUGAUGCAUGGCCCGUGUGGUAGAUUAAAUGAAAGUAAUAUUUGCAUGAGGAAUGGCUUGUGUAAAAACCAUUUUUCAAAAGAUUUUAGCAAACAUACUGUCAACACGAAAGAUGGCUAUCCUUGCUAAAGAAGAAGGCUGAAUGGAAUUUCUGUGAUGGUAUGCAACCACUCUCUUGACAAUUGAUGGGUUGUUUCUUACAAUCCAUAUCUUCUUCUAUGAAUUGACUAUCAUUUAAAUGUUGAAAUUUGUUCCACGAUUAAAUUAGUUAAGUAUUUGUACAAGUACAUUGAUAAGGGUUAUGAUCGUGUUAGCUUCCAUGUAGUAUUGGCCUAUCGAGAGAUAGUCUAGAAAUUGUUAAUGAGAUAAGGGAAUUUUAGUCUGGUCGAUGGAUUGCAGCAGUAGAGGCGUUUUGACGUAUUUACAAAUUUGCUUUGAAUGAAAUGACAUCUUCUGUUUAUACAUUACAACUACAUCUACUUGGAUAGUAGAUGAUUUUUUUUUCAUAAAAAUACAGAUUUGGCAGAACUACUGGACCAUGUCGAUUUCUCCAAAACCAUGUUAACAACCUUUUUUAAAAUGAAUAAGAGAAACAAAAAGGCCUAGCUUAAUUGUUUAUAUCGUGAAUAACCAUAACAUUUUGUAUGGAAGGUUAAGAAGAAAAAGUGGACUUCUAGAAAGCAAAAAAUGUUAUUGGUCGACUAGUUACGGUUAGUCCAACUGAGGGAGAAAGGUAUAAUUUGAGAUUAUUGUUGUCUCAUAUUUGUGCACCAACGUCAUUUGAGGAUCUUUUAAUUGUUAUUGGAAAGCAUUUACUAUCAUAUAGGGAAGCUGCUUUCCACAGGAGACUUCUACAAUCGGAUACGUAUUUAGAAGACACUCUUCAAGAGGCAGUGAGUUUCCAGAUGCCAUCUUCACUAAGAAGUUUUUUUUUAGUUUUGUUGGCAUUCUGUUCUCCCAAUAAUGCAAAGGCUUUAUGGGAAAAAUUUGAAGAUGAGCUUUCAAGUAAUAUUGUUAACCCUGAGAAUCUCAUCGGCUAUUCUUCCCACAUGUAAGAAUAUCUGUUUUGUCAGAUAUCAAUACAUAUUUAGAACAAAUGGGUAGAAACAUAAAUGAUUAUCAUUUAGUGCCUGAUGAUUUUUGCUUGAACAGUGAUGAGCAUGCUACAAAAGAGGUAGAGUGUGAAAAAAUGCCCAUUUUUCAGAAGAGGAUUUACUUUUUUCUAGAAAAUUGAAUAUAAGCUAGAAACAUGCAUAUGACAUCAUUUUAGUUCAAGUAUUUUCAAAUGCUUCUAAGAGUUUCUUUGUUGAUGGUCUAGGUGGAACUGGAAAAACUUUUCUUUAUCGUUCUAUCCUUGCAACACUUAGAUCACAAGGUCAUAUUGCACUUGCUGUUGCAUCGUCCAGUGUCGCUGCAUCUAUUCUUCAAACAGUCCAUUCUAGAUUUAAGAUUCCUCUUGAUCUAUCCAGCAAUAAAACAUGUCAUGAGUUCAGUGGUUAGGUUUAUUAUGUUAGCAAAGUUAAUCCUUUGGGGAUAAAGCAUCCAUGGCUAAAAGAGAAACCAUAGUGGCAUUUGACAUGUUACUUAGGGAUAUGAUGGAUUGUGAUGAAUCUUUUGGUGGAAAAGUGGUUGUGUUUAGACGUGAUUUUCGUCAAACCCUUCUUGUGAUACAGAGUGCUUCAAGAGUUCAGCAAGUUGAGUCUAGUUUUGUUAAUUCUUCUUUGUGGAAACUCUAUACAACGUCAGAUUAACUGAAAAUAUGAGAGUAAUUCAAGAUCCUUAUUUUUGUGAAUUUCUUUUAAGAGUAGGUGAAGGACGUGAACCGGAGGAUGAAGAUGGAAAAAUAACUCUUUCUCAAGAAAUAUCAAUUCCCUUUGAUAGCAGGGAAUCUUCUCUUAAUAAGUCGCUUAUUUGUCUACAUUAUAUAUUACCAAAACUAUCAAAAUAUGUACAUGUUUCACUACUUAUACAAUUUAUCUUUAUUAGGUUGAUAGAUUUUAUUUUCCCAGACCUUCAGAUGUAUUUAUUAGAUCCAUAUCAGAUGAUCGACAAAUGCAUCAUCACAGCAAAGAAUACAUCUGUCGAUGACAUUAAUGAGAUAAUGAUUCAACGGUUUCCUGGAGUAGUGCAUGUUUAUACUAGCACAGAUAAAACUCUUAAUGAAUUUGAUCAAGGUGAUUAUAAGACUUCUCAACUCAUUGAACCCUAGAGGAUUGCCUCCUCAUGAGCUGGUAUUAAAAGAAAACUGUCCUGUAAUUCUCCUUAGAAACUUGAAUCCCACCAAAGGCUUGUGCAAUGGAAUAAGACUUAUAGUUAGAAAAUUACAUGGAUAUGCAAUUUGUGCAGAAAUUGCAGUAGGAUAGCAUCAAGAAAAGAUAGUUUUGCUGCCUAAGAUACCUCUCUAGACAUUUGAUAAUUUUCUAUCUGAACAAGUAUCAAGGUUUAGAGAUUUUCUAUCCUGGUUACAUUAUACCAGAUCAUGUUGUAUCCAUGGCACUUUGCAUUUUCCAUUUGAUCACACAUCUGGUUUAUGCUGAUUCUAUUCCAACACAAUACACUCCAUUUGCUGUAUCUAUGUUCUUAACAGAACAAAAGUUCUGGUUAGAAAAAUGCUUCCAAAGCACUGCAUAUUUAAUGUUUAGUAAGUUGCUGCUGUUAUUUAGCGAUUCAAGCUUUGAUAAUGGAUGUUUAGCCAUAAAAAUGAUAUUAAGCAACUGGCUCCACUUAUCAAGAUUUGAUAAUGAAUGUACUUCGGCUACCUCCGUUUGAUGUUCAGCUUUGAUAAUAGAUGUUCCAACGGAAUGUACUUAUUAAGCUUUGAUGUUUAGCAAUAAAAUUGAUGCUAACUUUGGUUACUUCGAUUACAAAAAAAGACAUGGAUGAUAUAACUUUUUAAGCCAUCUUGAAUUAUCAUUAUAUCCUAUCUGGAACUGUUCCAUUACACAUUUAGCCCAAGUCUUGGCUAUAAUUUGCUUGCUAUUUGGCUACUGAGGAUAUUGGCCUGAAUAGUGAUAGGGUGCGAUUUUAUUAUUUAUUUUAUUAUUAAUUUCUCCUAUUACCUGACUCAAUGUGGAUUAAUUGCUGGAUUCUACUCACUUUUAGUACUUGGCAUUUAUUUCAGGGAGUAGAACGAAAAUAUAAUAACAAGUGCUAAUUUGGCAUGAAAAGAGUCCAAAUGAUAGAGCUUGUCCUAGGGGUAUUUUUGGAACAACAAAACGUGAGCCCUUGCUGGGCAAAUUGGGCCGAAGUCUUCUUUUCGGCAGUGAGCCGCCGCACAUCAAAAGGGAAGCAAGGGAUAAAAACCAAAGAGAUUGCAGAGGACAAGGGGGCUAUCUUGCUUCCUUAGUUUUUCGUCUUUAGCUUAGCCUUACUUUUUCACUUUUUUCUUCUUCACUGGUGGUAGUUAUUCUCCACGGAUGUGAGGAGAAACAAUAGAGAGUAGCUUUGACUUUUCCUUUCGUCUUUUGUGGUUGCCACUGCGCAUGCCAGGAGCUUUUCACCAAUUAGACGAAUUGAGUUCUUCCUAGUUUUGAAGUACAAUGGCCGCAGUUAUUCCUUCCAUUUUGCAUGGAUUUUGUUCAUCAAUUAUGAACUAAUUUCCUCACUCUAGUCAAGGGACAACGGAUGCUUUGGGUCGCCUAAAAUUGUGAGAACGAUUUAAUUUAAUUUUUUCCUUUU
RNAcentral lists this long non-coding RNA (8990 nucleotides) under Coffea arabica (coffee). RNAcentral describes it as "long non-coding RNA (CARA_LNC000063)". The record is from RNAcentral. Lineage: Eukaryota; Viridiplantae; Streptophyta; Magnoliopsida; Gentianales; Rubiaceae.